Molecule: unclassified non-coding RNA, 406 nt
Filed under: soil metagenome
Description: partial contains 5.8S ribosomal RNA, internal transcribed spacer 2, and large subunit ribosomal RNA
Rfam family: 5.8S ribosomal RNA (bases 1-121)
Source: RNAcentral
GAUGAAGAACGCAGCGAAAUGCGAUAAGUAGUGUGAAUUGCAGAAUUCAGUGAAUCAUCGAAUCUUUGAACGCACCUUGCGCCCUUUGGCUAUUCCGAAGGGCAUGCCUGUUUGAGUAUCAUGAACACCUCAACUCUCAUGGUUUUUCCAUGAUGGCUUGGACUUUGGGGGUCUUGCUGGCCUAUAGUCAGCUCCUCUUAAAUGAAUCAGCUUGCCAGUGUUUGGUGGCAUCACAGGUGUGAUAACUAUCUACGCUUGUGGUUUUCCAUCAAGUCACCUUCAGCGAUGGAGGUUCGCUGGGGCUCAUAAAGAAGGCCUCUCCUCGGUGAGGAUGGCUCCUUUGAACGUUUGAUCUCAAAUCAGGUAGGACUACCCGCUGAACUUAAGCAUAUCAAUAAGCGGAGGA